Molecule: ribosomal RNA, 535 nt
Filed under: uncultured bacterium
Lineage: Bacteria
Description: bacterial SSU rRNA
Rfam family: Bacterial small subunit ribosomal RNA
Source: RNAcentral
AAUAGAUACCCGGGUAGUCCACGCUGUAAACGUUGGACACUAGGUGUGGCGGUCUGAUCAACGACUGCCGUGCCGAAGCUAACGCAUUAAGUGUCCCGCCUGGGGAGUACGGCCGCAAGGCUAAAACUCAAAGGAAUUGACGGGUCCCCGCACAAGCGGCGGAGCAUGCGGCUUAAUUCGAUGCAACCCGAAGAACCUUACCUGGGUUUGACAUCAUGGGAAAAGCCGUGGAAACACGGUGUCCGAAAGGGCCCAUGACAGGUGGUGCAUGGCUGUCGUCAGCUCGUGUCGUGAGAUGUUGGGUUAAGUCCCGCAACGAGCGCAACCCUUGUCCUAUGUUGCCAGCGGUUCGGCCGGGGACUCAUAGGAGACUGCCGGGGAUAACUCGGAGGAAGGUGAGGACGAUGUCAAGUCAUCAUGCCCCUUAUAUCCAGGGCUGCACGCGUGCUACAAUGGUCGGUACAACGGGCAGCGAUCCUGCGAAGGUGAGCGAAUCCCACAAAGCCGGCCUCAGUUCGGAUUGGAGUCUGCAACG